AUAAGCAUAUCAAUAAGCGGAGGAAAAGAAACCAACAGGGAUUGCCCUAGUAACGGCGAGUGAAGCGGCAACAGCUCAAAUUUGAAAUCUGGCUUCGGCCCGAGUUGUAAUUUGCAGAGGAUGUUUAUGGUGCGGUACCUUCCGAGUUCCCUGGAACGGGACGCCACAGAGGGUGAGAGCCCCGUCUGGUUGGAUACCAAGCCUGUGUUAAACUCCUUCAACGAGUCGAGUAGUUUGGGAAUGCUGCUCUAAAUGGGAGGUAAAUCUCUUCUAAAGCUAAAUACCGGCCAGAGACCGAUAGCGCACAAGUAGAGUGAUCGAAAGAUGAAAAGCACCUUGAAAAGGGGGUUAAACAGUACGUGAAAUUGUUGAAAGGGAAGCGUUUAUGACCAGACUUGUGUCGUGUGGCUCAUCCGAGGUUCUCCCCGGUGCACUCCACACGGCUCAGGCCAACAUCGGUUCUCGUUGGGGGAUAAGAACAGUAGGAACGUGGCCCCUUUCGGGGGGUGUUAUAGCCUAUUGUACGAUACUCUGACGGGGACCGAGGACCGCGCUUCGGCUAGGAUGUUGGCGUAAUGGUCAUUAGCGACCCGUCUUGAAACACGGACCAAGGAGUCGUCCAUUAGAGCGAGCGUUUGGGUGUAAAACCCGCACGCGUAAUGAAAGUGAAAUUAGGUGAGAGCUUCGGCGCAUCAUCGACCGAUCCUGAAGUUUACGGAUGGAUUUGAGUAAGAGUUUUAACGGACGGACCCGAAAGACAGUGAACUAUGCUUGAAUAGGGUGAAGCCAGAGGAAACUCUGGUGGAGGCUCGCAGCGGUUCUGACGUGCAAAUCGAUCGUCAAAUUUGAGCAUGGGGGCGAAAGACUAAUCGAACUGUCUAGUAGCUGGUUAC
This 893-nucleotide ribosomal RNA is filed under the name Cryptosporella marylandica. Its description in RNAcentral is "LSU rRNA". It matches the Rfam family "Eukaryotic large subunit ribosomal RNA", at positions 34 to 958 of the family's 3401-position model. Lineage: Eukaryota; Fungi; Ascomycota; Sordariomycetes; Diaporthales; Gnomoniaceae. The record is from RNAcentral.